UACGUAGGGGGCAAGCGUUAUCCGGAUUCAUUGGGCGUAAAGCGCGCGUAGGCGGCUUGCUAAGUCAGAUGUGAAAACCGGGGGCUCAACCCGCGGCCUGCAUCUGAAACUGGCAGGCUUGAGUCUGGUAGAGGAAAGUGGAAUUCCUGGUGUAGCGGUGAUAUGCGCAGAUAUCAGGAGGAACACCAGUGGCGAAGGCGGCUUUCUGGGCCACGACUGACGCUGAGGCGCGAAAGCUAGGGGAGCAAACAGGAUUAGAUACCCUGGUAGUCCUAGCUGUAAACGAUGGGCACUAGGUGUGGGGGGUCAUCGACUCCCUCCGUGCCGCAGCUAACGCAUUAAGUGCCCCGCCUGGGGAGUACGGCCGCAAGGCUAAA
Molecule: ribosomal RNA, 377 nt
Filed under: uncultured bacterium
Lineage: Bacteria
Description: bacterial SSU rRNA
Rfam family: Bacterial small subunit ribosomal RNA
Source: RNAcentral